RNAcentral lists this ribosomal RNA (629 nucleotides) under uncultured bacterium. RNAcentral's name for it is "bacterial SSU rRNA". It matches the Rfam family "Bacterial small subunit ribosomal RNA", at positions 202 to 832 of the family's 1533-position model. The record is from RNAcentral.
UAAAGAAUUUCGGUUAUCGAUGGGGAUGCGUUCCAUUAGUUAGUUGGCGGGGUAACGGCCCACCAAGACGACGAUGGAUAGGGGUUCUGAGAGGAAGGUCCCCCACAUUGGAACUGAGACACGGUCCAAACUCCUACGGGAGGCAGCAGUGAGGAAUAUUGGUCAAUGGACGAGAGUCUGAACCAGCCAAGUAGCGUGAAGGAUGACUGCCCUAUGGGUUGUAAACUUCUUUUAUAUGGGAAUAAAACAGGGUAUGCAUACCCUCUUGUAUGUACCAUAUGAAUAAGGAUCGGCUAACUCCGUGCCAGCAGCCGCGGUAAUACGGAGGAUCCGAGCGUUAUCCGGAUUUAUUGGGUUUAAAGGGAGCGUAGGUGGAUUGUUAAGUCAGUUGUGAAAGUUUGCGGCUCAACCGUAAAAUUGCAGUUGAAACUGGCAGUCUUGAGUACAGUAGAGGUGGGCGGAAUUCGUGGUGUAGCGGUGAAAUGCUUAGAUAUCACGAAGAACUCCGAUUGCGAAGGCAGCUCACUAGACUGCAACUGACACUGAUGCUCGAAAGUGUGGGUAUCAAACAGGAUUAGAUACCCUGGUAGUCCACACAGUAAACGAUGAAUACUCGCUGUUUGCGAUAU